Dallia pectoralis (Alaska blackfish) is the source of this 72-nucleotide non-coding RNA. NCBI's taxonomy places the organism in Eukaryota, Metazoa, Chordata, Actinopteri, Esociformes, Umbridae. The record is from the annotation of a GenBank genome assembly.
GCUUCAGUAGCUCAGUGGUAGACUGCAUGGUUUGUGUGUAUGACGUACUGAGUUCAAAUCCCAGCUGGUCCC